GAUUGAACGCUGGCGGCGUGCUUAACACAUGCAAGUCGAACGCGAAAGAGACUUCGGUCUCGAGUAGAGUGGCGCACGGGUGAGUAACGCGUGGAUAAUCUGCCCUCAUGACCGGGAUAACAGUUGGAAACGGCUGCUAAUACCGGAUACGCUCUGAAUGAACUUUUAGGGGAAAGACGGCCUCUGCUUGCAAGCUGUCGUAUGAGGAUGAGUCCGCGUCCCAUUAGCUAGUUGGCGGGGUAACGGCCCACCAAGGCAACGAUGGGUAGCCGAUCUGAGAGGAUGAUCGGCCACACUGGAACUGAAACACGGUCCAGACUCCUACGGGAGGCAGCAGUGGGGAAUAUUGCGCAAUGGGCGAAAGCCUGACGCAGCGACGCCGCGUGAGGGAUGAAGGUUUUCGGAUCGUAAACCUCUGUCAGAAGGGAAGAAAGUGCGUGGUGCUAAUCAGCCGCGCAUUGACGGUACCUUAAAAGGAAGCACCGGCUAACUCCGU
Molecule: ribosomal RNA, 496 nt
Filed under: Desulfovibrionales bacterium 'ARUP UnID 293'
Lineage: Bacteria; Pseudomonadati; Thermodesulfobacteriota; Desulfovibrionia; Desulfovibrionales
Description: bacterial SSU rRNA
Rfam family: Bacterial small subunit ribosomal RNA
Source: RNAcentral